This 237-nucleotide unclassified non-coding RNA is filed under the name Hevea brasiliensis (rubber tree). Lineage: Eukaryota; Viridiplantae; Streptophyta; Magnoliopsida; Malpighiales; Euphorbiaceae. The record is from RNAcentral.
AGUUAAUGAUGAUACUAGGAGAUUUAUAGUUCACAGAAAAGCACUUGGUGAUGCAGAAUUCUUGGAGCUUCUCUGUAAAUCAGCUGAAGAAUACGGUUUCUACAAUGAAGGUGUUCUGAGGAUUCCAUAUGAGGCAAAGGAUUUUGAGGAGUGGAUGAUCAGAAAGGCCAAGCUAAGGAUUACUCGCGUUAACCCAUUGUAAUUAAUCUUUGAAUUUAUAUGAUCUCUGCUUUGUUU